GAUUUUACCUGGCCACAUCAAGCAGCUCCUGUGCUCUUCAUUUAUGACUUCUAAUGCUCCCCUGUGUUCUUGCUGAACUUUCUACUUCUAAUUUUCUGUGGAACAGGAAACCACAGGGCUAUGCAUAUUACAAAAAUAUAUACUGUGGAUAAUUGCCACUAAGACUGGGGGCUAAAAGAAGAAGAGUGUGGCUUGGUGAAGUGUCUUUCUGUAAACUGUUUCAGAAUAGAGUGAUCUGUGAUAUCUUCCCACUAAUCCCAAGUCAGGAGAGAGAGAGAAUGAAGAUCCAUUGCUGUAGAGGAACAAACUGAACGUGUUGAAGGUCCCGCAAGGCCAAUGUGGCUGGAAUGCAGACACAAAGCCAGGAGGAACAAGAGAUGGGGCUGACAAGAGAGGCAGGAGUCAGAUCUCAUGGGAACUGUCACCUGCAGUGUUGCAGACCUCUUUGAAUACACCAUGAGCACUGUGGAUUCUCGCCUCUGGAGAAUAAAAAUCACAUACAGAAAAGUUCAGACAACUUUAAGGAGUUUGAAGAAUCCCUGCUAGUCGUGGACCCAUCUGGGGUUGGUGGAUUCCUCACCAUGACUCUUUGGAUUCAGAAGUCAUAUAAGAUGCAGUUUAACAAAUAUUGGAAGUCAAAUGAGCAUUCUGCGGAAAAACAGCUUCUUCCAUACAUCAUCUUCUGGAAUAUCCCAGAUCUGGAAGAGGUCACAGGAAUGUCCAUUCAUAGGGAGCUCUACCUGGAGCUCAGAGAUGAUUGAGAGAGGGUAUUCAUCAUGGAUGUGUCCAAGUGAAGGUAGUUUGGAAAGAAACAAAGUUACCCUUUUUUCUCACUAAACAUCUUAGGGUCCCCAUUAGCAGGAAGGAAGGAAGAGGACAGGUGAGCUCCCUGGUAUUGAUGUAUUUACAGAGAACCUAGGCAUCAGCCAUACAUACAGAGGACACUCAUUUGGCCAGAAUUUGGGCUUUGACUUUAAUUAAAUUCCCUUGCUCCCAAUAAGACCUCUCUUAAUCUGAAAACAAUUUGUCAUAAGUGAUGUACCUGCCAAGACCUCAUGGCAAAGAGGCAGGGGGUACCUAGUAAAUGUUGCUGACAAACUCCAGCAUGACUCUAAAGGGACAGUGGCUUCCUUUGGAUGGUCAUGUGCUGCUGCUGGACAUAGCAAUCAGAAGGACAGUGGUGAACACCCAGGAGUGAACCAAGAUGCAAAGUUCAAGUCCGAGGGAAGAAGGGUGCAGUGCGGAAGAAGGGAAGGCAGAUGCUGCAGCCCUGCCUACAAGCAAGGAGGGAGCCAUUAAGAGCCCCAAGCUGGCCAGGCGCAGUGGCUUGCGCCUGUAUUCCUAAUCCCGGCACUUUGGGAAGCCAAGGUGGACGGAUCACCUGAGGUCAGGAGUUUGAGACCAGCUUGACCAACAUGGAGAAACUCUGUCUCUACUAAAAAUACAAAAUUAGCCAGGAGGCUGAGGCAGAAGAAUUGCUAGAAUCCGGGAGGUAGAGGUUGCAGUGAGCCGAGAUCGUGCCAUUGCACUCUAGCCUGGGCAACAAGAGCGAAACUCCAUCUCAAAAAAACAAAAAAGCCCCAAGCCUACUUUAUCAGACAGAGGAAUCAAGUUGUAUUUCCUUCUCACCAAGAGACGCUGGAAAGCUGUAAUCUUACACCAGUGGAGAAAGUGAGAGGAAAAUAAACCCUUUCUAAGGAUGAAUCCUGAAAGCCUUUCACAGACAAUGCUGCUUCUAUAAGAAUGACCUGUGAUGGCUAAGCCAUCACAGUCUUCAUUCCAAUUGACAUUCUAGGUAAACCUGCGCACAACUUUUUCUGUGUAUUUUCCAAAAAAGGAUCAUUUUAUAAAGGCUCAAGUUAUUUACAAA
RNAcentral lists this long non-coding RNA (1870 nucleotides) under Homo sapiens (human). Its description in RNAcentral is "long intergenic non-protein coding RNA 1744". The record is from RNAcentral. Lineage: Eukaryota; Metazoa; Chordata; Mammalia; Primates; Hominidae.